This 19-nucleotide unclassified non-coding RNA is filed under the name Chlamydomonas reinhardtii. RNAcentral's name for it is "small RNA Cre_1327". Lineage: Eukaryota; Viridiplantae; Chlorophyta; Chlorophyceae; Chlamydomonadales; Chlamydomonadaceae. The record is from RNAcentral.
CGGGAAGGAUUGACAGAUU